This 460-nucleotide ribosomal RNA is filed under the name uncultured bacterium. RNAcentral's name for it is "partial 16S ribosomal RNA". It matches the Rfam family "Bacterial small subunit ribosomal RNA", at positions 338 to 795 of the family's 1533-position model. The record is from RNAcentral.
CCUACGGGGGGCUGCAGUGAGGAAUAUUGGUCAAUGGACGAAAGUCUGAACCAGCCAAGUAGCGUGAAGGAUGACUGCCCUAUGGGUUGUAAACUUCUUUUAUAAAGGAAUAAAACGAGGCACGUGUGCCUUUUUGCAUGUACUUUAUGAAUAAGGAUCGGCUAACUCCGUGCCAGCAGCCGCGGUAAUACGGAGGAUCCGAGCGUUAUCCGGAUUUAUUGGGUUUAAAGGGAGCGUAGAUGGGUUGUUAAGUCAGUUGUGAAAGUUUGCGGCUCAACCGUAAAAUUGCAAUUGAUACUGGCAGUCUUGAGUACAGUUGAGGUAGGCGGAAUUCGUGGUGUAGCGGUGAAAUGCUUAGAUAUCACGAAGAACCCCGAUUGCGAAGGCAGCUUACUAAACUGUGACUGACAUUGAUGCUCGAAAGCGCGGGUAUCGAACAGGAUUAGAUACCCCGGUAGUC